This is a long non-coding RNA of Portunus trituberculatus (swimming crab), 1360 nucleotides long. RefSeq lists it as uncharacterized. The transcript is spliced from 2 exons. The record is from RefSeq and is a predicted model, not a curated record. NCBI's taxonomy places the organism in Eukaryota, Metazoa, Arthropoda, Malacostraca, Decapoda, Portunidae.
AUUUAUUUUUCAGAUGUCUAUGCAGCAUUGUGGCCAUUCCUUGGUAUUCUAGUGGAGGUGCUUCUGCUUGGAAUUAUUAUAUUCAUCUUUGAGAAGCGCCGUGCUAAGGCAGAAUUUGAGGAAUCUGAUACUGACCAGGGGAAUGACCAGAAAAACACCGAUCACCACAAGGAUUCUGUCCGUCAGCGAAAGUAAGUAGAAAGCUGCAAAUGACAACUAAUUAAAUUUUUUGCCAUUUGAAAUGAGCAGAAAAGAAAUAUUUGCAGGGAAAUAGUCAUUGGUAAUGAUGACAGAUGAUUAAAGAUGUAAAUGAAAUCAUGAUUGACUGGGAGAUUUAAGCCAUGAAACAGAUAGUGAUUCACAUUUAAGUAAACAUACUAGCAAAGAUGUAGAUAUUCAUAGAGAGGAAAUAUUAUGAUUGGCAUAAUACAUCAAUGAAAAGUUCAUGACAUUACUUAAGAAUAUUUUAUGGUAUAACAUUUAUUUAUUAAGGUUCAACUUUAUAGUUGACUUUUAUCCUCCAGUCAUAAUUAUUAAUUUCUUUAUUAUGAUUAUGUGGUGCACCAAUUUUCUUAUGAAAGCUGAUUUUUGCAUUUUGUCAAGUAAUACAGUGCUUACUUUAUCAGAAGUUACUCAUUAUUGCUGAUAAUGUUUUUAAUCUGGCAUUUCUUGCUGCUUGAUUAUUCAUUGUGCUAUAGUUGCAGAUAUGUUUUAUCCUCAAACAUUUCUAGAAUUGAUUGCUUUUAGAGUUUAGCUUCCUAUAUAUUUUGUUGCAUUGCCUAUCUGAAAUAGACAUGUAUGUGUAAAUCCCUGUGUGUACUACUAUCAGGGAAAGUUUGUGUUUGUCAAGUAGUUUAUGUAUAUUUACAUACAUACAUAUAUACAUUUAGAUAGAAGUUUAGAGGAAUGAUGUAUUCAUUGUUUCCCAGUUCUGUUCAAAUGAUCAAUUCAGGUUUGUAUGUACAGUAUAUAUUUCAUAGAUAUAUAUAAUAUUAUAAACAAAUUUCUUACUUAGAGUUUUUAAACAUAGUUUAUAAUUUGCAAAACUCAAGUUUUAACUUUAUGGCUUGUGAGAAAGUUAGUGAGUAGCCAGUUAUGGUAUUGCCUUAAAAACAGGAUAUAUCAAGGCAAAGGUUUUAUUGUGCAGUGUUCUGGUUUUAAUGUUUGAUAACUUUCACUCACGGAUAACUGAGAACAGUCAGCCAAGAAAAGUGUUAAUGUGUUUUUCUUAGAUACUAAUGGUUUCCAUCCCAAUGGAAUUGGGAAUCACUUGUCUUCAUGAGAUUCAUUAAAUAAAUUAUGGACUGUGUUAUGUGUAUUGUUGAUAUUAUAUAAUGUUAUAGAUAAUCUAAUAGAAAAA